RNAcentral lists this ribosomal RNA (253 nucleotides) under uncultured bacterium. Its description in RNAcentral is "partial 16S ribosomal RNA". It matches the Rfam family "Bacterial small subunit ribosomal RNA", at positions 524 to 776 of the family's 1533-position model. The record is from RNAcentral.
UACGAAGGGGGCUAGCGUUGCUCGGAAUCACUGGGCGUAAAGCGCACGUAGGCGGAUCUUUAAGUCAGGGGUGAAAUCCUGGAGCUCAACUCCAGAACUGCCUUUGAUACUGGGGAUCUCGAGUCCGGGAGAGGUGAGUGGAACUCCGAGUGUAGAGGUGAAAUUCGUAGAUAUUCGGAAGAACACCAGUGGCGAAGGCGGCCACCUGGACGGUAACUGACGCUGAGACGCGAAAGCGUGGGGAGCAAACAGG